AAAUCUGGGAAAGGAAAGAAAUAACUUCUUCGUGGACAUGGACUCUGCUGGCACAGUUUAACCCUACUGCCCCACUCAGUCUGAUACAUCUGCAUAAACUUUAUACUCUUGCAGAAUGGGUAUUUUUAAGGAUUUCUGUAGCCAAUAAUCACAGUCCUGCUGCAGCCAUUGCUGGGUUAUUUUCCCGAGCUGCCAAGGAUCCAACUGUGCUCAUUUGGGAUUUGUCUGCAUGGAGUUUCCUGUAAGAUCGAGACUUUUGCUGCUUGGAAAAAAGAGAGUCCAAUUCAUUAUGUUUGACUGGCACCUAGGAAAAUGAAGCUUUAACUGAGAAUUCUGCUUUGCAAGGAGCUGUGCCAAGUGACAUGCUUAGUGAACUGUGCUACCCUGGAUAAUUAAGAAGAGCUAAACUCUGGGUUUGUUACAACAGCUUUAGCUGCAGAGCUAUUAUUGACACUGUGUAAGUAUCAACAAAAUAAUUGCCCAGCGAUCAUACUUCAACUUUUAUUUCUGAAAUGCAUUAAGUGAACUACUUCUAAUGCUAAUGUCUCUGAAGAUUAAUUAAGAGGGUUGGAGAGGAAAUUUUUUUUAAAAUACAGUUCAAGAAGUAACUUUUUCUACCAGAUGUUUCUAAUGUAGCUCUAAGAAACCAAGUGUCACAUCACCUAAAAAUUAGAUUUGGCUCAGUGGGAAUUUCCAGUACAAUUUUGUUUUCUUCAAAAUUAUACCAGUUAGUGAAGAACAGAAAAAAAUAGCUUUUCUUUGAUGACAUCACUGCUACAGUUUUCAAAAACAUUUAGAUAGAUAGCAGAUAGUCUGACUGUUAUGAAUUUCUCAGUGUGCUUUUGACUUCGGUGUAUUUGAGAUAAUAUCACAUCUAUCACAAAGAGCUUGACAGAGAUGCUUUCUCUUCAAUUCUCCCUUUACAAACAGGAUUUGAUCUACUUCCUCUUCUCCCCUCUGAGGCCAAGGAAAUUCUUUCUGUUCACUCUUCAAGCAUCCAAGUGUAUGUAAAAAAUUAUUUUUGGUGUCAGGUAUGCACUGAUGUUUCUCUGAAUAAGCAUUUUGUGCUAGAAGAAAUAAAUUAAAUACUAUAAAAUGAAUAAUGCUCCCAGGAUUCCUUCUGCUGCUUAGCCCUCCAUGCAAGUGGUGCCAAGCCUGAAAGGUAAACUAGAGUUUUCCCAGCUUGUUAAGCUGAGUCCUGAAACCUUCUGUGU
Molecule: long non-coding RNA, 1214 nt
Organism: Manacus vitellinus (golden-collared manakin)
Lineage: Eukaryota; Metazoa; Chordata; Aves; Passeriformes; Pipridae
Exons: 3
Source: RefSeq, a predicted model, not a curated record